AGUUUGAUCCUGGCUCAGGACGAACGCUGGCGGCACGCUUAACACAUGCAAGUCGAACGAGAGAAGAGAAGCUUGCUUUUCUGAUCUAGUGGCGGACGGGUGAGUAACACGUGAGCAAUCUGCCUUUCAGAGGGGGAUACCGAUUGGAAACGAUCGUUAAUACCGCAUAAUAUAAUUGAACCGCAUGAUUUGAUUAUCAAAGAUUUAUCGCUGAAAGAUGAGCUCGCGUCUGAUUAGCUAGUUGGUAAGGUAACGGCUUACCAAGGCGACGAUCAGUAGCCGGACUGAGAGGUUGAUCGGCCACAUUGGGACUGAGACACGGCCCAAACUCCUACGGGAGGCAGCAGUGGGGAAUAUUGCACAAUGGGGGAAACCCUGAUGCAGCGACGCCGCGUGGAGGAAGAAGGUCUUCGGAUUGUAAACUCCUGUUGUUGAGGAAGAUAAUGACGGUACUCAACAAGGAAGUGACGGCUAACUACGUGCCAGCAGCCGCGGUAAAACGUAGGUCACAAGCGUUGUCCGGAAUUACUGGGUGUAAAGGGAGCGCAGGCGGGAAGACAAGUUGGAAGUGAAAUCCAUGGGCUCAACCCAUGAACUGCUUUCAAAACUGUUUUUCUUGAGUAGUGCAGAGGUAGGCGGAAUUCCCGGUGUAGCGGUGGAAUGCGUAGAUAUCGGGAGGAACACCAGUGGCGAAGGCGGCCUACUGGGCACCAACUGACGCUGAGGCUCGAAAGUGUGGGUAGCAAACAGGAUUAGAUACCCUGGUAGUCCACACCGUAAACGAUGAUUACUUAGGGGUGGAGGAUUGACCCCUUCAGAGCCGCAAGUUAACACAAAUAAGUAAUCCACCCUGGGGGAGUUACGACCGCAAGGUUGAAACUCAAAGAAAUUGACGGGGGCCCGCACAAGCAGUGGAGUAUGUGGUUUAAUUGGACGCAACGCGAAGAACCUUACCAAGUCUUGACAUCCUACGACGAUGCUGGAAACAGUAUUUUCCUUCGGGACGCAGAGACAGGUGGUGCAUGGUUGUCGUCAGCUCGUGUCGUGAGAUGUUGGGUUAAGUCCCGCAACGAGCGCAACCCUUACUGUCAGUUACUACGCAAGAGGACUCUGGCAGGACUGCCGUUGACAAAACGGAGGAAGGUGGGGAUGACGUCAAAUCAUCAUGCCCUUUAUGACUUGGGCUACACACGUACUACAAUGGCGUUAAACAAAGAGAAGCAAGACCGCGAGGUGGAGCAAAACUCAGAAACAACGUCCCAGUUCGGACUGCAGGCUGCAACUCGCCUGCACGAAGUCGGAAUUGCUAGUAAUCGUGGAUCAGCAUGCCACGGUGAAUACGUUCCCGGGCCUUGUACACACCGCCCGUCA
RNAcentral lists this ribosomal RNA (1371 nucleotides) under synthetic construct. Its description in RNAcentral is "bacterial SSU rRNA". It matches the Rfam family "Bacterial small subunit ribosomal RNA". The record is from RNAcentral. RNAcentral also lists the same sequence under 1 other name.